AAAGAGUCAAACCCUGAGUUUUCGUGUCCAACUUUGACUGUCCGUCUUAUAUGAAAUUUUUUUAUAAUUCGUAUUUUCAUUGUUGUUAGAUCAUAAAAUAUGAUUAAUAUUUUAUGCGUGACUUGUCUUUUUAUUUUUUUUUAUAUUUUUUUUAAAUAAGAUGGACGGUAAAACGUUAGAUACGGAAACC
RNAcentral lists this microRNA precursor (190 nucleotides) under Oryza sativa Japonica Group (Japanese rice). RNAcentral's name for it is "MIR812 microRNA precursor family". It matches the Rfam family "MIR812 microRNA precursor family". The record is from Rfam by way of RNAcentral. Lineage: Eukaryota; Viridiplantae; Streptophyta; Magnoliopsida; Poales; Poaceae.